Molecule: ribosomal RNA, 613 nt
Filed under: uncultured bacterium
Lineage: Bacteria
Description: bacterial SSU rRNA
Rfam family: Bacterial small subunit ribosomal RNA (bases 1-520)
Source: RNAcentral
CCUACGGGAGGCAGCAGUGGGGAAUCUUGCGCAAUGGGCGAAAGCCUGACGCAGCAACGCCGCGUGCGGGAAGAAGGCUUUCGGGCUGUAAACCGCUUUCAGCAGGAACGAAAAUGACGGUACCUGCAGAAGAAGGAGCGGCCAACUAUGUGCCAGCAGCCGCGGUGAUACAUAGGCUUCAAGCGUUGUCCGGAUUUAUUGGGCGUAAAGAGUUCGUAGGCGGUCGAGUAAGUCGGGUGUGAAAAUUCUGGGCUCAACCCAGAGACGCCACCCGAUACUGCUUGACUUGAGUUCGAUAGGGGAGUGGGGAAUUCCUAGUGUAGCGGCGAAAUGCGCAGAUAUUAGGAGGAACACCGGUGGCGAAGGCGCCACUCUGGAUCGAUACUGACGCUGAGGAACGAAAGCAUGGGUAGCAAACAGGAUUAGAUACCCUGGUAGUCCAUGCCGUAAACGGUGGGCACUAGGUGUGGGUUUCUAUUAACGAAAUCCGCGCCGUCGCUAACGCAUUAAGUGCCCCGCCUGGGGGAGGUACGGUCGCGAGACGUAGAACGUACGAAAGGUAAAGUUAGUACGGCGUUGUAGACGUUGCCGACGGCGACGACGAGGGAGGAGG